Molecule: non-coding RNA, 73 nt
Organism: Trametes maxima
Lineage: Eukaryota; Fungi; Basidiomycota; Agaricomycetes; Polyporales; Polyporaceae
Source: the annotation of a GenBank genome assembly
AGCCCAGUGGUGCAGUGGUAAGAACCUGUGGUUAUGAUGCUGAGGGCCCUGGUUCAAUUCCUGAGCUGUCCAG